This 253-nucleotide ribosomal RNA is filed under the name uncultured bacterium. RNAcentral describes it as "partial 16S ribosomal RNA". It matches the Rfam family "Bacterial small subunit ribosomal RNA", at positions 524 to 776 of the family's 1533-position model. The record is from RNAcentral.
UACGUAGGGUGCAAGCGUUGUCCGGAAUUAUUGGGCGUAAAGGGCUCGUAGGCGGUCCAUCACGUCGGGAGUGAAAAGCUGGGGCUUAACCCCAGUCCUGCUUCCGAUACGGGUGGACUAGAGGUAGGCAGGGGAGAACGGAAUUCCUGGUGUAGCGGUGAAAUGCGUAGAUAUCAGGAGGAACACCGGUGGCGAAGGCGGCUACCUGGACAGAAACUGACGCUGAGGCGCGAAAGCUAGGGGAGCAAACAGG